CUGGGACUGAAGACUGGGUCCAGGUCAGGACCCCUUAGAGACCUGGGACUGGAGACUGGGUCCAGGUCAGGGGUCAGGACCCCUCAGAGAGCUGGGACUGAAGACUGGGUCCAGGUCAGGGGUCAGGACCCCUCAGAGAGCUGCUGGGACCCAAGGGGCUGGAGGGACAUUCCAGGUGUGUUGCUAGGACAACCAACAGAAAGCUCUGGAGAAACAUCUGCUCAGCUUGAAAGAGUUAAACUGAAGAAAGGGGAAGAACCAUCGGCUGAACACACGAGAACCUUCAGUUGGAUCCACUGAGUUGUUUAUUACAAUUAUGCUUCAUUAACAAAUACAACAGAAGAAUAGUCCCUUACAUGUACACAAUAAAUACAAGGACUAAAAUCGUAGAAGAAGCAGGCUUUACAAAUCAUCAACAGGUGUGCACGUAUCUUUAAUAACUGAACAUGUUCUGCCGCCGUUUGCUUCCCAAGAGAACAAAAGGAAUAAAUAUUCAGUAUAAAGUAAUUUACAGUAUGCAACAUUAUCCCAUAGACCUCUUGGUUACAUGAAUAAAAUAUAAAAUCUG
Long non-coding RNA from Gadus macrocephalus (Pacific cod), 568 nucleotides. RefSeq lists it as uncharacterized. Lineage: Eukaryota; Metazoa; Chordata; Actinopteri; Gadiformes; Gadidae. The record is from RefSeq and is a predicted model, not a curated record. The transcript is spliced from 2 exons.